GCGGAAGCAAUCGCACUCAAAGACGACCUCAACGCUGCCGGAAUCCAUUGCCAUAGGAGUCUAGCAAGCGCUCAAUCGACGUGGCAAACUGCGCGGCGGCGUGCGGCGUGCGGCGGACUCGAAGAACUGGUUGGCCACUUAUCUUCUCCUUUAGACCUUUAUUAUACAGCUGCCGCAGUACAGUAUAUGAUUCGAUUUUGCAAGCAUCUAAUUGCCAAUUACUUUCAGGCCCCUGCGCUUUCAGAGGCAGAGGACGUUAUCUUCCUGAUUGGCCUUGCGUCUUGUCUGAUUUUCUCCUCGUGGUGUUUGCGUGCUGUUGUUGUGUGGUUUGUGCCUUUCCUUUGUGGCCAGAAGCAGGCCGGCACAUACUG
RNAcentral lists this long non-coding RNA (371 nucleotides) under Setaria italica (foxtail millet). RNAcentral describes it as "long non-coding RNA (SITA_LNC001418)". The record is from RNAcentral. Lineage: Eukaryota; Viridiplantae; Streptophyta; Magnoliopsida; Poales; Poaceae.